Molecule: non-coding RNA, 3573 nt
Organism: Pogona vitticeps (central bearded dragon)
Lineage: Eukaryota; Metazoa; Chordata; Lepidosauria; Squamata; Agamidae
Source: RefSeq, a predicted model, not a curated record
CACCCUUUUGCAGUUUUGUUUUGAGGAUUGGGAACUUGCACCCCAUUUUAUGGCGUAAAAAAAGUUGGAAAAGACUUUGUAUUUUCCAAAACAGUGUAGGGGGAGAGAACAUAUUAAAAAACUCUCAGGUUUUUCGCACAGGGCCCUCCCUUACCCCAACUCAAAACUUUUAGUGUGCAAUCCACGCUGGUCCAGUUGCGCCUUUUGCUUUGAAUGCCCCAGAUCCCCUCCCUGGGAUCCCCUGAGCCUUUGCAGAGCGAAAGAUGGAUUUGCGGCUUGUGCAUUUCCUUUGCUCCAGCUCGCUUCCGAUGACAGUUUUGGAAAGCCCUGUCAGGAGUUUCUGGUCAGACGCUUCACGCUUUUGGAGUGGAGAAGCGCCUUUUUCUCAGUGGCUCUCAAGCGCACCCAAGGCUGUGGCCCAGAGCUGGAUGACAUCCCUGUAGACCCUUGGAGAGGCUGACGAACACCCGACGUGAACCCGCCUCGGUUUCCUCCAGCCUUCAUCACAAGCUCCUUUGUUGCCUCUGUUACGAAACCCGGACGCCUUUGGGCAGUGACCGUUGUGUUCUUGUGUACUUGGCACUGGAGGGAGGCUGGGCAAGAAAAUUUGUGGUUGAAAGCCAAGCCAGUGGGAGGGUGUGCUGCGAAAAAAAGUUUCAAUCCAGAAGCCUUGAAGUUUGUUUGCACCUGAAGGUUGUAGCUGUGACUCCUCCAAGGGCUGAAAUAUUCUCCCAGAUGCAGGUGCGCUCCUGGAUUGCUGGCCCGUCUGCCACCUGUUUUCUGGGCUUCGUCUUCUGGGUACAGUUGUUGCCGAAAAGCUGGAGGGAUGAGUUUCUGGAGAAUGAAAAAGGAGAACGAGAAGGAAGAGCAGCUGGACUUUGUUUUCUGCUAGGAAAAGUCAUGCCUUGAUGGCUCGGUUAAGGAAAGAGGUAAACGAGGCAUCUGUGGACAGGGAAUCGGGCAGGAUGACUUACAGCGAAUUCAGUUUUUGAAAGAUGUUUGCUUUCUGGGACUGAAUGGGACUAGAAAGAAAAAAACAGGAGUCUGAAUGAACAUCAACGCCUCUGUCUUAGCAAACGCAUGACUCCCCGUCUCACGGACGAGGGAAAAGGACGUUGCCUGCCGACAGGUUCCCCUCUGCGUUCCGGAUCGUGUCAAAAGACCUCUUGUUUCGGAAGGGGUUGUUCCAAGUAAGACCAGACUAUGUACACCUUUCUGCCUGAGAACUUCACUCCGGUGAAGCCAAAACCACCCAAAGAGUUGAAACCCAUGAUCGUGGCCAUCCUGGUCGGCCUCAUCCUCUUCAUCGCAGCGGUGGUCGCCUGGUGCUAUUACGUCGCCUCCCUCCGUAAGGCCGAGAGGCUCAAGACGGAACAGAUGGACCUGCGGCAGGAUGGGUUCACCAUCAAAAACCAGGACGGAGAGUUGGUCUUCAGGCUGGCUUUCCAGUCGGGGGUCCUUGAUUUGGAGUCUUGCUCGAGGGAGGGCGCCAAUUUGACCUGCACUCGGACGGACCGAGGGAAACUCAAUUUCUUCAUAAAGAUUGUCACCCCCAAGGACACGGUGAUGUGCUACCGGGUCCGAUGGGAAGAGUUCGUAGCGGACACGGUGGUGGAGCACAAAAUGUAUUGGGGGGAUGCUCACUGGUACGGGGGCUGUGAGAUGAGCGUCCAGCACUGGCCGAUUCAGCUGCCUGGGUCCCAGGAGCCCAUGCCUUUCGUGACCAGCGAUGUGUAUUCUUUCAGGAACAGCUUUGGGGGCAUCUUGGAGAGAUACUGGAUCUCUUCCAAAGCCGCCGCCAUCAAGAUCAACGACUCCGUGCCCUUCCACCUCGGCUUCAACGCCAGCGAAAGGUCCCUCACCUUCCAAGCCAGAUAUAAAGAUUCGCCCUAUAAGCCUCCCUUAGGCAAGCAGCCUUUCCCCGAACUGAGUUACCGGGUCUGUAUCGGCUCCGAUAUCACCUCCAUCCACAAAUACAUGGUGCGGAGAUACUUCUACAAGCCUUCUAAGAUCCCUUCGAAAAACGCGUUCCGGUAUCCCAUUUGGUCGACCUGGGCUUUGUACAAGAACGAUAUCGACCAGGAUAAGCUGCUGCGCUUUGCCGAAAAGAUAAAGAAGUAUAAAUUCAAUUGCAGCCAUAUUGAAAUAGACGAUGCCUACACGCAGGCCUAUGGGGAUUUCGACUUCGACCCGGUCAAAUUCCCCAAUGUGACGGAAACGUUUGAGAAGCUGAAAGAAGACGGCUUUGAGAUCACUCUUUGGACCCACCCCUUCGUCAACUACAACUCCUCAAACUUCGGGGUGGGCAUCGAGAGGCAGCUUUUCAUCAAGGAGCCAACGGGAAGGCUCCCCGCUAUGGUGGAGUGGUGGAACGGCAUUGGCGCCAUCUUGGACUUCACCAACCCUGCCGCCAGGGACUGGUUUCAGAGCCACCUGAGGCAAUUUCGCAGCCGCUAUGGCAUCUCGUCCUUCAAGUUUGACGCGGGAGAAACCAGCUACCUUCCCAAACAGUUCAGCACCUUCCGCCCGUUGUCGGACCCCAGCGUUUGGUCCAGGCGCUACACAGAGAUGGCCAUCCCUUUUUACGAGCUGGCCGAGGUCCGGGUGGGCUACCAGUCCCAAAACAUCUCUUGCUUCUUCCGGAUCAUCGACCGGGAUUCGGUUUGGGGUUACGAACUCGGAUUGAAGUCCUUGAUCCCCACUGUCUUGACCAUCAGCAUGCUGGGAUACCCUUUCAUCUCGGCAGACAUGAUUGGUGGAAACAUCUUCCCCAACAAAACAGACGGCGCCGUCGAGAUCCCAGACCGAGAACUCUACAUCCGUUGGCUGGAAUUGUCGGCCUUUAUGCCCUCCAUGCAGUUCUCUAUCCCACCUUGGCUUUACGGUAAAGAGGUGAUCGAUAUCGCCCUGAAGUUCACGCAACUCCACGAGUCUUUGGUGGCCCCCCUCUUGUUGGAGUUGGCCGGGGAGAUCACAGACACCGGGGACCCCAUCAUACGGCCCAUCUGGUGGAUUUCUCCCAACGACGAGGCGACGCACAAGAUAGAUUCCCAGUUCCUGAUUGGGGACACGCUGAUGGUGGCUCCCGUUUUGGAGAUGGGCAAGCAAGAGCGAGACAUUUACAUCCCGGCUGGCAAAUGGCGGAGCUAUAAGGGGGAACUCUUUGAAAAGACCCCCACCUUGGUGACUGACUAUCCAGUGGAUUUGGAUGAAGUUGCUUAUUUCAUCUGGGUGUCGUAACGGACUUCCUCCACCCCGCCACCACCAGCAAGCUUUCAUCCUUGGUGAAAGUUAACCAUGCCUUAUUCUAGGAUCCUAAGAGCAAAGGAGACGGAAGGAGAACAUGGGGAAUGAUUGUGUGUGGGAUAGGCAACCUGGUGUACUCCGGGUGGUUUGGAUUACAACUCCCCUAAGCUCCCAGUCUUCAUGCUGGGGGAUGAUGGAGGUGGUUGUCCAAAGCAUUUGGGAGGGGACCAGGUUGUCUAACCCCCAACUGCACCAUAAUCCUCUAAGUAUGCUACAAAGAUAUAGCUUUGAGAGAGAGAGAGAGAGAGUGAGAGAGAGAGAGAAAGG